This 200-nucleotide unclassified non-coding RNA is filed under the name Cladophialophora sp. Its description in RNAcentral is "partial internal transcribed spacer 2". The record is from RNAcentral. Lineage: Eukaryota; Fungi; Ascomycota; Eurotiomycetes; Chaetothyriales; Herpotrichiellaceae.
UUAAGUUCAGCGGGUAUUCCUACCUGAUCCGAGGUCAACCUUAGAAAAAUAAAGGGUAGACCGGGUCUGGGGACCUUGCAACUCUGAUGCGUGCUGGUUAAAGCUCAUUGCACCGAGGGUCCCACGGACGCCGUCACUGUCUUUGGGACCGGGGAGGGCCAAACGGCCCGCCCCUAAAGUCCAACAACAAGCCAGGGCUU